UUUAUCGAACCAGCCCGAAAGUCUGUUCAUGUAAUGCAUUUUAAGUUCCAGAAAUUGUCAAUUUUUUCAACGUUCGUUUUGCUUUUAUCAUUCUGAGAUCUCUAAUUGGCAUAAUUUUUUCUUGUGCUUACCCUGGCUUCAGUGUUACUUCGUGUGGUUGAAAAGGAGAUAGCUCCGACUUCAUAUAGAGUACUUCUUCUUCGAAGAUGAAGAGUAUCUGCGAGGUGAUGGAUGGAACUGACUCGCUGGCACAAGAUCGGCCAAAGAAAUACUUCAUAUUGUUACGGAAGAGAAGAGACGUCGUAUCGACGAGGCUGUGGAUGAAAUAUAUUUCAAACGAGCAGCAGCGGCUUGAUCAGUUGACCAGCCACCAAGCGGAGGCAGCCCUUCGUCCUCUUUGUCAGGCACAAACGUGCAUCGUCCCACAAAAUGUCCAAAUACAUGUAGCAUAAUCCCCGGUG
This is a long non-coding RNA of Rhipicephalus microplus (southern cattle tick), 461 nucleotides long. NCBI's taxonomy places the organism in Eukaryota, Metazoa, Arthropoda, Arachnida, Ixodida, Ixodidae. The record is from RefSeq and is a predicted model, not a curated record.